This 232-nucleotide ribosomal RNA is filed under the name uncultured bacterium. Its description in RNAcentral is "partial 16S ribosomal RNA". It matches the Rfam family "Bacterial small subunit ribosomal RNA", at positions 524 to 754 of the family's 1533-position model. The record is from RNAcentral.
UACGUAGGGUGCGAGCGUUAAUCGGAAUUACUGGGCGUAAAGCGUGCGCAGGCGGUCUGUUAAGACCGAUGUGAAAUCCCCGGGCUUAACCUGGGAACUGCAUUGGUGACUGGCAGGCUUUGAGUGUGGCAGAGGGAGGUAGAAUUCCACGUGUAGCAGUGAAAUGCGUAGAGAUGUGGAGGAAUACCGAUGGCGAAGGCAGCCUCCUGGGCCAACACUGACGCUCAUGCAC